AUACGUAGGGAGCGAGCGUUGUCCGGAAUUACUGGGCGUAAAGGGCGCGUAGGCGGCGCUUCAAGUCGUCUGUCAAAUGGAAUGGCUUAACCCUUUUUCGCAGACGAAACUGGAGAGCUUGAGAAGCAGAGAGGCAAACAGAAUUCUUGGUGUAGCGGUGAAAUGCGUAGAUAUCAGGAAGAAUACCAGUGGCGAAGGCGGUUUGCUGGCUGCAUACUGACGCUGAAGCGCGAAAGCCAGGGGAGCGAACGGGAUUAGAUACCCCGGUAGUCCUGGCAGUAAACGAUGUAUGCUGGGUGUGAGACUAGCGAUAGUUUCGUGCCGAAGUUAACGCGAUAAGCAUACCGCCUGGGGAGUACGGUCGCAAGAUUGAAACUCAAAUGAAUUGACGGGG
RNAcentral lists this ribosomal RNA (394 nucleotides) under uncultured bacterium. RNAcentral's name for it is "partial 16S ribosomal RNA". It matches the Rfam family "Bacterial small subunit ribosomal RNA", at positions 523 to 918 of the family's 1533-position model. The record is from RNAcentral.